This is a non-coding RNA of Kogia breviceps (pygmy sperm whale), 2298 nucleotides long. The record is from RefSeq and is a predicted model, not a curated record. Lineage: Eukaryota; Metazoa; Chordata; Mammalia; Artiodactyla; Physeteridae.
UUGGCAGGUGGAUUUUUAACAACUGUGCCACCAGGGAAGCCCUACCAGGUCUUUUUGAAGUGUAAGAUGUAUGUCACUGAGAGGAAACAUGCCUUCAAGAUGAUCCCCAAGUUUUGAGAAGGAGGAGACUGGAGGAAGAAAAGUAUUGGCAGAGGAAGGCCAAAUGUUUGGUUUCUUUUGAAUGUGGAAAGGUCUCGAUGUGAGUCUAAUAAGCACUAACAAUUAAGGGAUGUGUGUGGCAGUGAGUCCCCAUACGUGAACUUGAUGAAGAGACUUUGCAGCUGAGGAUUUAUCCUGGCUACACCAAGACUAACAAAGAAACGAAGGAACAAAGCCCAUGAACCCAGGGGACGUGGAAGUUACUCAGACAUAAGGACGGAUAAAUACCACUUAGAGCACUCUCCCCCUUCCGCAUAUGGGACCGGGCAAACGUAAAUGAAAAUAGUGAGAUAAACCAGGAUGGGGCGCAUCUAUAGGGUUGUCCUGGAGUCACAAGGACACACGAACCCUGUCUACUCCAGAGGAUUACUGAGAAAAGCAAGUGACCUAACUACUAAUAUUUCAAGUUCAAGAAAGGAGUUUGAGGUUACAGAGGACACUCAUAAUCUUAGUUCCUAAGCAGAGAUAGAUCCUCCAUCAGAUUCCUCGCGACCAUAGCCACCGCGUGCACAGCAUGCAUCUAAAGUCUGCCAGUGGAAUAAUAUCCUCCUGCCAGGUGAUUCUGACUCUUCUUAUGAGGAGUGAUAAUAUCAUCUUAAUUACUAAUUGCAAAUACAAAAGACAAUAUAUGGGAUCCUAAAGCAAGGAAACUGAUCUUCUCCCAAUGCCCAGUGCAAUGCCUGGAAGACAAGGUUUGCACAAGAGAUAAGCGAUGCUCCGAUGAAUGAGAGGUCCAGAGUCAGCUCACUUCCUGGGCACGUGCCUCAUCGCACACACUCACGGUUGAUCGGCCUCUUUUACUGAAUGAUGACUACUUUUUAUAUUUCGAAAUCUCACUCAAUCAAUUCACAGAAACUCAGAAACUUUUCUAAAUAGAAACAGUCCAUCUGAGCGGUGGUAAACAAGAUGUUGAGGUCUGCAAAAUGGAAAACAAAUUAUGCAGAGGAAUUGUGUGCAAUGACUUAGAAAGAAAAAAAAAAAAAAGGACACUUUUUAACCCACUCCUGCUUCUUUAAUUGUUUUGGCAUUUGAGAAUCAGAGUCACGCAGGUAAGCAAAUGUUAACUUUCCAGAAGCCUGCCACUUGGAGGCUCAGAUCCAUUUUUGGUGUAGCUCCAUGCUGCAGCCAAGCCGCAAUAGCCCAAAGCAAGUACGUGUUGUUAUGUGUGAAAUGACUGAAGGUGGUUUUGAACUUUUCACUGAAGUGAGUGUCAUGGGUUAAAGACUUCCACCAAGACUGCGAUGAACCGCAAAACCGUCUCUGGAAUUCAGCCUAUCGCUCCUAACUGAAGUUGGAUACCCCUAGAGGAUUACAAAGUGAUAUUUGACAGCAAAGGCUUUUGCAGUUAUCAUUUGUUUGGGUUAUUAAGAGUGAACAUAUAUAUUAUAAAUGUUUCCUUUUUUUUUUUUUUUUUUAUUACCUUCCCAUACUUUUACGAGUUUGGAAGGAAAACUUCAGAAAAAUACUGUGAUAAGAGUCAGUACAUUUUCUGCAGAGAGUUUAAUAGGAUAGUUAAAAUGUCUUAAAUAAAGCAUUGUCUCUCACUGCAGACAUGGCCGUUCUCCCAGUUAUGGAUGGAAGGAGACUGCUAAAAGUACCACAACCCCGGGAAUACCCAAAACAGUACCGAAAAUCGCUGAUGCUCUUAUGUUUUACAGAUGCAGCCGCUGAGGCUGGUGGAGGAUAAAUAACAGCCCCCAGGUCACACUGGGCUGGUAGUAAGUGACAGAACCAUACUUAGAUUCCAGAUGCUCAAACUCGAAACCACUGUGUUACAUUUAUUAAACAGAUAUUUCCCAAGUUCCCAGUUAUUUUUUAGUCCGUAUAUGAUACUGCUCCUACUGGUGGUUGAAUCGUACAAUAUCAGACAUAGCUCUGCUCUUAAGAUGCUUCUCCUAUUGUCAGGGGAGAUAAGACGUGUUUCCACAAAAACUCACCAAAAUAGAAGGCCGUAAACAAGAUGUGAAGACUUAAGAGGCAGGCAUUUUAAACAAGGUAGGCUCACGUUUUGGGCCCCAAUCAAUUGUCUUUUGAAGCAUAAAACAUGAUAUUGAUAAAAGAAAUGUUCACAUAUUGAUGUAUGGGGAAGUCUUUCUGGCUUAUACAUGAGUUAACUUGAAUUUUAUGCUAACUGAAACA